AGUGAACGCUGGCGGUAGGCCUAACACAUGCAAGUCGAACGGCAGCACAGUAAGAGCUUGCUCUUACGGGUGGCGAGUGGCGGACGGGUGAGGAAUACAUCGGAAUCUACUUUUUCGUGGGGGAUAACGUAGGGAAACUUACGCUAAUACCGCAUACGACCUACGGGUGAAAGCAGGGGAUCUUCGGACCUUGCGCGAUUGAAUGAGCCGAUGUCGGAUUAGCUAGUUGGCGGGGUAAAGGCCCACCAAGGCGACGAUCCGUAGCUGGUCUGAGAGGAUGAUCCGCCACACUGGAACUGAGACACGGUCCAGACUCCUACGGGAGGCAGCAGUGGGGAAUAUUGGACAAUGGGCGCAAGCCUGAUCCAGCCAUGCCGCGUGGGUGAAGAAGGCCUUCGGGUUGUAAAGCCCUUUUGUUGGGAAAGAAAAGCAGCAGGUUAAUACCCCGCUGUUCUGACGGUACCCAAAGAAUAAGCACCGGCUAACUUCGUG
This 492-nucleotide ribosomal RNA is filed under the name uncultured bacterium. Its description in RNAcentral is "partial 16S ribosomal RNA". It matches the Rfam family "Bacterial small subunit ribosomal RNA", at positions 29 to 507 of the family's 1533-position model. The record is from RNAcentral.